This 311-nucleotide ribosomal RNA is filed under the name uncultured Saprolegnia. RNAcentral describes it as "partial large subunit ribosomal RNA". It matches the Rfam family "Eukaryotic large subunit ribosomal RNA", at positions 40 to 350 of the family's 3401-position model. The record is from RNAcentral. Lineage: Eukaryota; Oomycota; Saprolegniomycetes; Saprolegniales.
AUAUUAAUAAGGGGAGGAAAAGAAACUAGCAAGGAUUCCCUCAGUAACGGCGAGUGAAGCGGGAAGAGCUCAAGCUUAAAAUCUCCACUUUGUGGCGAAUUGUGGUCUAUAGAGGCUGUUGUCAGCAUAGCGACCUGGGACAAGUCCCUUGGAAGAGGGCAGCAUGGAGGGUGAUACUCCCGUCUCUGCUCAGGUUGUCUGUGUGUACGAUACGCUUUCUUCGAGUCGAGUUGUCUGGGAAUACAGCUCAAAGUAGGUGGUAAAUUCCAUCUAAAGCUAAAUAUUGGUGCGAGACCGAUAGCGCACAAGUA